Molecule: long non-coding RNA, 611 nt
Organism: Gallus gallus (chicken)
Lineage: Eukaryota; Metazoa; Chordata; Aves; Galliformes; Phasianidae
Source: Ensembl
CACAGAAUCACAGAAUCACAGAAUGGCCUGGGUUGGAAGGGACCUCAAGGAUCAUGAAUCUCCAACCCCCCUUCCGGGCAGGGCCACCAACCUCCACAUUUACUAGACCAGGCUGCCCAGGGCCCCAUCCAACCUGGCCUUGAACACCUCCAGGGAUGGGGCAUCCACAAGCUCUCUGGGCGGCCCAUUCCAGCACCUCACCACUCUCCUGCUUUUCAACAGAGCUCUGCUUACUCCAUCAGAGCUACAUGGUUUAACAGCAGUUCACCAUUCAGAUCAAUCUGUGUGAAGAUUGAAACUGGACUUGACAUAUUUUAUAAUUUGUCUCCCAUCUCUUGUCUACCCUGGAACUGUUCUAAACACCAAGCCCUGGCUCCUGGCAAGCUGAUCUUAUCUUAUGGGAAGUAUUCUGAUUGCUGUUUUUCUGAACCACUCAACUGCCUUCUCAGCUGUGCUUUUGGCUCCUGGACAUGCCCCAUUAUUCUCUCAGAAUAUUUUUCAUUGACCUUGGUGAUCUCAAUGAAUCUGUAAGAUGCAACUCAACCGCCAUUCUUCAAGGAAGUUUUGGACCGAUUGGCUCCAGUUCCAUGGAUUAUGUAACAAUCUCUGGG